This 1483-nucleotide ribosomal RNA is filed under the name metagenome. RNAcentral's name for it is "bacterial LSU rRNA". It matches the Rfam family "Bacterial large subunit ribosomal RNA", at positions 1453 to 2925 of the family's 2925-position model. The record is from RNAcentral.
GGUGUAGUGCGAUGUGGAGACGGAGAAGGUUAACUCAGCCAACUGUUGGAUAUGUUGGUUCAAGCUUGUAGUCGUGCCUGGUAGGUAAAUCCGCCGGGCUUAGAUGAGGAGUGAUAACGAGGCUGCUUGCAGCCGAAGUGAGUGAUACCCUGCUUCCAGGAAAAGCCACUAAGCUUCAGCUAUACACGACCGUACCGCAAACCGACACUGGUGCGCGAGAUGAGUAUUCUAAGGCGCUUGAGAGAACUCAGGAGAAGGAACUCGGCAAAUUGACACCGUAACUUCGGAAGAAGGUGUGCCUUUAGUAGGUGAAGGGAUUUACUCCUGGAGCCCAAUGAGGUUGCAAAAAAUCGGUGGCUGCGACUGUUUAUUAAAAACACAGCACUCUGCAAACACGAAAGUGGACGUAUAGGGUGUGACGCCUGCCCGGUGCUGGAAGAUUAAAUGAUGGGGUGCAAGCUCUUGAUUGAAGUCCCAGUAAACGGCGGCCGUAACGAUAACGGUCCUAAGGUAGCGAAAUUCCUUGUCGGGUAAGUUCCGACCUGCACGAAUGGCGUAACGAUGGCCACACUGUCUCCUCCUGAGACUCAGCGAAGUUGAAAUGUUUGUGUUGAUGCAAUCUCCCCGCGGAAAGACGGAAAGACCCCAUGAACCUUUACUGUAGCUUUGUAUUGGACUCUGAACAGAUCUGUGUAGGAUAGGUGGGAGGCUUUGAAGCAGGGUCGCUAGAUCUUGUGGAGCCAACGUUGAAAUACCACCCUGGUGUGUUUGAGGUUCUAACCUAGGUCCAUUAUCUGGAUCGGGGACAGUGCAUGGUAGGCAGUUUGACUGGGGCGGUCUCCUCCCAAAGCGUAACGGAGGAGUUCGAAGGUACGCUAGUUACGGUCGGACAUCGUGACGAUAGUGCAAUGGCAUAAGCGUGCUUAACUGCGAGACUGACAAGUCGAGCAGAUGCGAAAGCAGGACAUAGUGAUCCGGUGGUUCUGUAUGGAAGGGCCAUCGCUCAACGGAUAAAAGGUACUCUGGGGAUAACAGGCUGAUACCGCCCAAGAGUUCAUAUCGACGGCGGUGUUUGGCACCUCGAUGUCGGCUCAUCUCAUCCUGGGGCUGUAGCCGGUCCCAAGGGUAUGGCUGUUCGCCAUUUAAAGAGGUACGUGAGCUGGGUUUAAAACGUCGUGAGACAGUUUGGUCCCUAUCUUCCGUGGGCGCUGCAGAUUUGAGGAAGCCUGCUCCUAGUACGAGAGGACCGGAGUGGACACACCUCUGGUGUAUCGGUUGUCACGCCAGUGGCAUUGCCGAGUAGCUAAGUGUGGAAGAGAUAACCGCUGAAAGCAUCUAAGCGGGAAACUCGUUUCAAGAUGAGAUCUGCCGGGGCCUUGAGCCCCCUAAAGAGUCGUUCAAGACCAGGACGUUGAUAGGCAGGGUGUGGAAGCGCAGUAAUGCGUUAAGCUAACCUGUACUAAUUGCUCGUGCGGCUUGACCG